This 271-nucleotide ribosomal RNA is filed under the name uncultured prokaryote. Its description in RNAcentral is "partial 16S ribosomal RNA". It matches the Rfam family "Bacterial small subunit ribosomal RNA", at positions 524 to 794 of the family's 1533-position model. The record is from RNAcentral.
UACGUAGGUGGCAAGCGUUAUCCGGAUUUACUGGGUGUAAAGGGCGUGUAGGCGGUUUUGCAAGUCAGAUGUGAAAUCUCCGGGCUUAACCCGGAAACUGCAUCUGAAACUGCAGAACUUGAGUACUGGAGAGGAUAGUGGAAUUCCUAGUGUAGCGGUAAAAUGCGUAGAUAUUAGGAGGAACCCCAGUGGCGAAGGCGACUAUCUGGACAGUAACUGACGCUGAGGCGCGAAAGCGUGGGGAGCAAACAGGAUUAGAUACCCUGGUAGU